Molecule: long non-coding RNA, 1864 nt
Filed under: Homo sapiens (human)
Lineage: Eukaryota; Metazoa; Chordata; Mammalia; Primates; Hominidae
Description: HSALNT0295159
Source: RNAcentral
GGAUAUUGUGGCUGGAGACAUGAGCAAGAAAAGCCUCUGGGAGCAGAAGGGAGGCUCCAAGACCUCAUCAACAAUUAAGAGCCAGCUCAAUCACUUCUCCAGAAAGACUUACUGAGUCCUCUGCACUGAACAGGUGUCCUGUGCUCCAGGAGAGCCCUGGGCUGGCUCCUAGUGUAGCCAUUAUGACCCUGGAAUGCACCAUCUUUCACAUCACUGCCUGGCCUUCUAGAAUCUCAGCUUCUUAAAUCAAGAAAUUGUGUCUUGUUCAUGUCUGAAUUCCCCAAGUGAACACAGUGAGUGGGUGCUUGACAAAUCUUUGUUGGUAAUGAGCAAAAAAGGGGAUUCUGUGCCCAAUACCAUGAAAUCAAUGCACAGAAGAUUCAAUCAAUCAAGAAAGGUGCACAGACGCUGGCCACACACACUGACAUUUGUUUUCAGAUGUUCCAGUCCCCCUGACUUCCACCAACCCAUUCAUUCAUUCCACAAGCAUUUUUGCUGGGGUGGAAGCAGGGCCAUACAGGGUGUGUAAGUAACAGAUAGGGUGGGUUUGUAUAAUGAGUAUAAAAAACUUCUAGCAGAAGAUGACAAAGUAUAUCAAGAAAGGGCUCUCUUCGAAAUCACACCACUGCACUCCAGCCUGGGUAACAGAGGGAGAUUCCAUCUAAAAAAAAAAAAAAAAAAAAAAAAAAAAACAGGGAUGGGGGCAAGGGAGCUCUUUUUUUCCAGUUAGCACAAGAUUGCCAUUUCAGCUAGGGAUUCUGCUGCAACUAUCUCCCAGACCCUAUUCUAGGGCCCGGGGAUAGAAACAGAAUCAAAAACAUAUUCCUUGUCUUUUUUGGGCUUAUAUUAUUGAGGAGAGAGAAAUAAACAAUUUCAAAAUAAACAAUGUCAUACAGUGCUAAGUGCUAUAAAUAAAAUCAAACAGAAUAACGAAAGAGAAAGUAGCUAGACUGGAGGGAAAAGCUGCUUCAGAAUGAGUUGUCAAGGAAGCCUCUUUGCAAUCAGAAAGGUGAGAAGGAUUUAGUCAGGCAAAUAUCAGGAGUAAAUUAUUCUUGGAGGAAAGUAAGCCCAUGCAAAGGCCCUGGGGCAGAGUGGGCUUAUUUGAUAAAGAGGUAAAAGGGUCAGGAUAUCUGUAGCAAUAGUGGCCAAGGGAGGGAGAGGUAUGAGACAGAGGAGGUGAGCCCUGUUGCCAUGGUGAGGGCAUGAGGAUUUAUUCUAAGUUCCAGAUACCUGGAGUUAAAGUCCCCUGAACUGGACAACAACUACAAGCCUUCAUAUCUCAAUGCUACCAUCUUUAAGCCCCUGUUAUAAGAGCUCAGAGGCUUCAGAGAUGACAGGAAACACCAGAACGCUAUGGUGGAGCAUAUCUAGGUGCCUUCUCCCAACUCAGAUCCUUUGACUAUAGAAAGACACAGAUUUCAAGGCUGAGAUCCACAAAACUCUAGCAAAUACUGCACAGACACUGACCAAUGACAGCAGGUGCUGCCUGUCACCCUGGAGCACCAGGCAGGGUUCCAAAGCACCCUUGCUGUGCCAGCCUCUGAUUGCUGGUUAUAGGGAGGUCUGGGGUAGUCCCAAAAGCUGGGAUGUCUAAGGCAGCUGGGGUCAGUCAGGAGGCUCAGGGCAGUGGCAGGAAAAUAUUUUCCUCCCUGGUAGAGCCACAGCGGGGUAUCCAGGCUGAAUAUUAUUGGCGAGAAGGACCAUGGCACAGCACCAAGACCUGCAGGACAAACUUUGUUGGAGCUGAAUCCAGAAAAACAAUCUUCUUCUAAACCACUCUCCUGCCCCUCAUUUAAUUAUUGUGCUUUUGGGUGCACUUGGACUACUCUGAAACAUUCAGAACUCUGUCAAAAAAAAAAAAAAA